GGACGGGGGGAAAAAACACAGGAUAUGAUGGAGGGAAUCGAGGAGAAGAUACAAAUAACGGCACAAAGGCGGAGCUGCUGUUGGAUUCCUCAUAAGAAUUAUUCAAGGAGAAAUGGCACCUGGCCUGGGGGAAAUCAGCGCUGCCCUCAGCCGGAUUACUCCUGGCACAAUCCGGACACAGUCUUGUUUGAUGUCCCCCACCCAUCCGUCUUGAAGAUGAUCCCUCCCCAAAAGAGCAAAUCCAAGUUGUUUUGGAGGAAGUGCAGCAGCUUGACCAAUCAGAGUGAGUGCAGCGCUGGGAGACACAGUCCACCCUGGAGAAGCAAAAAGGUAGGAACGCCUGUAGUUUGGAAAAAACACACACAUGAAUGUAGCACACAGUCGCCAGCAAUCAAAGACAAUGACACACAAACAAAUUACUUUUAGGAGACAUGCUUGCAUCAGCAUGCUGAGCCCACAGCAUCCCUUCUCACCUGGGAGCUGUGUUGGACCACUGAGGUGUGGUAAGAUACUACACGCUCCAGGGCAUCCAUGACCUUUGAGUUAUGGCCGUCAGAAACUGUAUGUGUUUGUGUGUGUGAGUGGGGGAGAGAGGAAGGGACAGAGACAAAGGGGCAGAAAAGACGACGGGAGGAACAGACGGCGUAUGUGCUUUUUGUGAUUCCACUGACAGUGUGGUACGGCAAAUGACUUUUCCUCCAACGAGCAUGAGAAUCAGUUUUUGUUUAUAGCUGCAUCCACAGUACGGCUGCCCUUACCUGUACAGAGGCUCGGUGCCCUUUUCUGAACCAUUAUCAUAUUCGUACACCGCGUACUGUUCCCAUUUACAUCCAGGCCUCUGAGGAAUACGCAAUUGUGGUGGCUGAGCAUCUCUUUGUAGCAUUCAAGUACUUUACAAGUGGGGUUACUUUAAGAACAAUGACAGAAGGGCAUUAUUACAUUGAACAUGCAGAGAGUCUCUUGGAGCGGCUCUGUUCUCCACGCAGCAACCAAAUGAUGUAGUCUUUGAAAAAGGGCCAUGCCGGUUUUAUACAACACGGGUCUUCUCUUAGUCAUUUCUUCUCCUUCUUUUUGGGGAGAAUAACAUUUUCCAUCUGAUACUGAACUGUAAAUGUUCAAAUAUCCAAUUGUUUUCUGUGGAGUUGAAGAUUUUAUCGUCCAUGUUGGCUCAAAAGCUGAGGUGCAAAGUUUUUUUGCCCGUUUUGUUUUACUCGGAAUCUACACUUGCGUUUAACUGGCUUUGUUUAUAACCCGUGUUCGGGCUCCUCCAGGUUUUAUGAGCCGUGCAAUACCGAUUUAAAGAAAUUCAGGCAUUUGGUUUUUAUUCAUAACGGAUUAAUCUUUUUUUUUUGCUGUUUUUACUCUGUCUGUUGACCGUCAUGUGGACUGACAUUAAUGAAAGAAAAAAACUACUUCCAUGUGUCGUCGGUGGAAGAGUUAGCCACCUGCACAGCUCCGUCAGGAUGCAGUGAGGGACGAUUAACCCGUCUAAUUAGCGUCAUUCAUUCUGUAUCUGGCCUGACUGGGAUAAUGUUGUUGUGAUCCCAGAUCUCAGAUAUUAACGUGAUCAUCCCGAGUUAUAAUAAAGAGACUUACCUGCACCUACCUUGGCGGAAACAAGUAUUUGCUUGUCGUCGAAUAACAGGUCCAUGUAUUUUUUACACCUUUAAUGUCGCACUUUUUUUUUGACACAUUUACUUACUUGUGUGGAUUCACCUUAACAGGAAAAGGAGUAAUAUCUUUUUCCCCAGUCUUCAGUUUGUUGUGAGUACUCCAACAAGGUAAAUAAAUUUCUUGUGCGCAGCGUCAUCAGUAUGACUUUGACUACUCGGGAAACAUGAAUCUGUCUUAUUCCUUUGAUUUUCUCUUUGGUGUUAAGAGGCGCUGUAGUAAGGCUCCACAGGCUCCCUGAAAAUAGUUUAUGUUUUGUUACUCCCACGCACACAAGAGCAGCGACUGUCUCCCGUAAGAUGGAGAGCAAUCUUAUAUCUCUGCAAGCCUGCUUCAUUUAAAAUAUGGUAAAGCCUUCUGCUUUGUGAGAUGCUCUCCGUCUCGCGCGCGUGUGCGUGUGUGUGUGUGUGUGUGUGUGUGUGCUCCUAAGACUCAGGGAUGAUGCAUAGACUCUGACACUUUGACAGAUGAACAGAUUUAGAGCGCUCGAAGGACCCAGCCUGUUCAAUAAAGGCAGGAGCGAGUGUGCGAGCACGUUAGUGUGUUUGUGUGUGUGUGUGUGUGUGUGACUGCUUGUUUAUAUGUGACUGCUAAGCUUUGCUAAAUGUACAGUUCACGACGCUUUUAUUUAUCUUCAUUGAUGCAUAAGGUUGUGUAAUGGGUAGGGAUAUACAGGCGUGUCAGUCACAUUUAAUGCCAUGAUUGGGCCAAAGGAAACGUUCUCGUGUGCUGUCACAAGCUGUUGGAGAAUGUUUAGAGAGCACCUUCACAUCAUUACAACCAAGAUCCCCAAACGUCCCGUCAUCGCUGCCAUGUAUGUGACCUUGUUGCACCACAGAAACCUCUCAAGAAAACCCAGGAAGUUUUUCCAGGAACUCAAGAACUUGACCCGCUUUUCAGCCAACUCACCAUCCCGAGAUUCAACACUUGAUCUGAUUUACCUCCUAUGAUCUGUUGGUGCAGGUUCCCAGUCAUCUAGAUCAUGGAAAUGCUAAGACGUUUCGCCUCCCCUCCAAGAGGCGUCCUCAGUUCUAACUAACUGGAAGGGAGUAGUUUGCAGGCUUUGCAGUCUUCAGUGUCAAUGCAAGAAGCACGGUGCCCUUAACAAAGCGAGGCGGCAAGUAAGUUCUCAUUCCCUGGAUUCCCGUUUCAGCGGCGUCCCAGAAGAAGGCUCUCUGUUCUGUUCACGGAAUGAACACAGCCUGAGCGAGUCAACAGUAUCAAGCAGGAAUUCUCCGCUUCUGAAACUCCGCCGGAGGGAUAUGAAAGCGAGCGAAGGAGGGAACAAAACAGCGUUGCAGUCCAGUGGAAUUCAACAGCCAAACUGGUGAUUGACGCACAAAUCAGCAGGGCACGGUUCAACUCGGAGCAGUCAACAGUGCCGGUGACAGACGAACGAGUAGAUAUUUGGGCCUCAACCCAACCUUCAUGUUAACUACUACUGUUCAGCUGGUUGGCUUUAGUGGUGCAAACAGACCAGAAGGGUGGGACGCAGCGGCAUCAGUAUUUGACAACCUGGGAUGAAAACGUGUUGGACUUUAAUGCAAGAGUCAGGAGUUUGUGUCCUGUCACACACUCACUAUCAAAUCCCCUUAUUAUGAACUAUAACCAAAAUCCUUUCCCAUCCUUAAACAUGUGUCCUACUUUUCUGUCAAUUUACCUGAAUUCUCCCAUGUGACCCCCCCUCCUCCGUGACCUCCACUUCGAUCUACUACAUUACUUGGCCGGCUGGUUUCACCAUCACCAAGAGCAAACAAAGCCCGCUCAGCAAAGUGGCACCUCAGUGGUGGAAUGAACCUCCGACCAAUGUCAGGUCAGCAGAAUCACUCGCCAUCUUCCGCAAAAGAUUCAAGACUCAUUUGUUCAGACUUGACCCCACAUAGCCUGACUCCCUCCCUCUUUUUUACUUUAUCGACAGUGACAUGUUGUGGCUUCUUUCUUGUGACAAAUGUUCUUAUUUUAAUUCGCUUUGGACAAGAGCGUCUGCUAAAUGCCCUACAUGUAAACAAAACUUAACCUUAAAUCGAGUGUUUUAAAAACCUUUAUAAGCAGAUUUACCACAUUGACAAAUAUAAAAGUUUUUGUUUAUGGGCUACCCAAAAAAAGUCCUGCUCCUGAGCGGAAAACAAAUUCGAUGUCGUACAGAAGCUGUCAUUUUAUAACUUUUCUGAACGAAAUUGCCUAAUCUUCACGGUUUUAGUAUGCAGUGGAAACAUUUUUGUUCUUGGUUUAGUUAUUGGCCUCAGGGACUGUUUGUCGAAAAUGCACCAUUAGUGACAUAUUUCUAUGUAUGCCUGCGCACACAUGGAUUUGAGUGGGUCAUUAUGUCUCGGUGUGCAUGAGCGCUCAUGUGUACAGAACCUUUUCCAAGGGUGUGUGCAGGUGUAAGUCACUCAGUUCUUGACUGAGCAUGUUUCAGUGGUUUGGUGUGUUUGGUUUUGGGCCCUAGGCUUGAUGUUCUGUUCUCGCCGCUGUCGAGCUGUGGGAAAAGGACGCUCUCUGGCUCAACUUUUGCCUGAUUCUGAAAUUUCACAUUCCUCUGAACAUUACCUCAUGAAACCUGACAAGUCCAAAAGUAUAACUGAAAUCAAAUUGCAGGCUCAGUGUAGC
Long non-coding RNA from Sparus aurata (gilthead seabream), 4281 nucleotides. NCBI's taxonomy places the organism in Eukaryota, Metazoa, Chordata, Actinopteri, Spariformes, Sparidae. The record is from Ensembl.